Molecule: ribosomal RNA, 253 nt
Filed under: uncultured bacterium
Lineage: Bacteria
Description: partial 16S ribosomal RNA
Rfam family: Bacterial small subunit ribosomal RNA
Source: RNAcentral
UACAGAGGGUGCGAGCGUUGUCCGGAAUCACUGGGCGUAAAGGGCGCGUAGGUGGUGGCUUAAGCGUGCGGUGAAAGCUCGGGGCUCAACUCCGAGUCGGCCGUGCGAACUGGGCUCACUGGAGCAUAGUAGAGGCAGGUGGAAUUCCGGGUGUAGCGGUGGAAUGCGUAGAGAUCCGGAAGAACACCGGUGGCGAAGGCGGCCUGCUGGGCUAUGGCUGACACUGAGGCGCGACAGCGUGGGGAGCAACAGG